RNAcentral lists this ribosomal RNA (461 nucleotides) under uncultured bacterium. Its description in RNAcentral is "partial 16S ribosomal RNA". It matches the Rfam family "Bacterial small subunit ribosomal RNA", at positions 29 to 507 of the family's 1533-position model. The record is from RNAcentral.
ACGAACGCUGGCGGCGUGCUUAACACAUGCAAGUCGAGCGGUAAGGCCUUUCGGGGUACACGAGCGGCGAACGGGUGAGUAACACGUGGGUGAUCUGCCCUGCACUUCGGGAUAAGCCUGGGAAACUGGGUCUAAUACCGGAUAUGACCUCCUAUCGCAUGGUGGGUGGUGGAAAGAUUUAUCGGUGCAGGAUGGGCCCGCGGCCUAUCAGCUUGUUGGUGGGGUAAUGGCCUACCAAGGCGACGACGGGUAGCCGACCUGAGAGGGUGACCGGCCACACUGGGACUGAGACACGGCCCAGACUCCUACGGGAGGCAGCAGUGGGGAAUAUUGCACAAUGGGCGAAAGCCUGAUGCAGCGACGCCGCGUGAGGGAUGACGGCCUUCGGGUUGUAAACCUCUAUCAGCAGGGACGAAGCGCAAGUGACGGUACCUGCAGAAGAAGCACCGGCUAACUACGUG